Molecule: long non-coding RNA, 581 nt
Filed under: Cavia porcellus (domestic guinea pig)
Lineage: Eukaryota; Metazoa; Chordata; Mammalia; Rodentia; Caviidae
Description: lncRNA (ENSCPOG00000038536.1)
Source: RNAcentral
GUUAGGGGUAGUGUGUAGUGGGGGCUUGUUCUUUGGCUUUUCUUUUUGUGAAGAAAAGAGGGUAAAGAGAGAAUAACUCACGGUAGGCUACAGCGUGAAACAGUACCCUGAAGAGUGCCACAAUGUUCUUGGUACAAUAUACAGAGUGCAGAUGAUGUGGAGAAGUGAGUGAGUGACAAUAUUUCAAGGUUACGUUGAAGAGCAUACAGUGAACCUUAGUGCCUGGACCAACAGCUGCUGAAUUGAAUUGUCUGCAAUUAAAGCAACAGCAGGAUUGAACCAGCUGCCCUUUGACCCUGCCAACAACAACGAGCCCCUGCAGUUUGGUAGUGCCAGUGGCCCUCUGGUCACAGAAGGCCUCAUUGAAAAUGGAGGGGACUCAAGCAAGAAAAGAAAGAGAACAAAUGCUCCUUCAGUACUAGACAAAAGGAAGAGGCAAAGUGUUUUGUGAGCAGAGAUUGCCCUCUUCUUUUGUCACUGUAUCCUGGAUCAUGCAAAGAGGAAGCUCGGACUGGAAAUUCUUGUAGGAGCUAGCAGCCAUUUCUCUUCUAAGCUGAGAUACUAUGCGCCUUUGUAUCUCU